CAAAAGCUGAGCAAUAAUUUGCAAAAUCUUCCUCUAGAGAAACUGGAUAAUGUGGUGCAGAUUAUCAAGAAGAGGAACUCAUCACUGAGUCAGCAUGAUGAUGAGAUUGUGGUAGAUAUAGAUAGUGUUGAUACUGAGACUCUUUGGGAGCUGGAUAGGUUUGUUACCAAUUAUAAGAAGAGUCUAAGCAAGAACAAGAGGAAGCCAAAGCUUGGUGAGCUUGCACUUCAGUAAAGGUCGGACAAUCAGCAACAUGAAGGGCAAGAAAUGGUACAGGAAAGGAAUUCUGAUGCUGUAGUUGCAGAAGUGCCAACAGAGAGCAGGACAGUGGUUGAUGAAAAGCACGCGGCUUCCUCUCCACUACAAGCAGGUGAAAAGAAGGGAGAUAAUGCAAGUAGGUCAAGUAGUUCGAGCAGCUC
Molecule: long non-coding RNA, 419 nt
Organism: Asparagus officinalis (garden asparagus)
Lineage: Eukaryota; Viridiplantae; Streptophyta; Magnoliopsida; Asparagales; Asparagaceae
Exons: 3
Source: RefSeq, a predicted model, not a curated record